CACAAAGGGUCCUGGCUCCCUUCUCCCCACUCUGUGCCCGUUUCCUGAAUUAUCAGCCUCUGUUUGUGAUUCUCCUCCAAAGAAGAAUUCCUCCGCUACCAUGGCACCGACUCCUGUUUCAACCCAAAUGGCCUGGGGAAGUCUGUUCUAGUCCUCCACCUCUCUCAAAGGAUUCUUCUGGACCCCCAAGAUCAGUGCUCCUUGUUCUUGGAAACCUGCAGCAUCUUACCUUUUAUAACUGGUAUGCCCAAGUUGGAUGGGUCUAGGAGGAAAGGUACUUUCCACUACUGAUCGAGCUUCUCCCCGAGUCCCCACCUCAUAAGAGAAAAAGCGAUAUAGGACAGCUAAAACAGAAGAGAGGGGCUGAGGAAAUGUGUGACCAUCUCAGACAAACUACACUCACAACUGCCACCAGCCCAACAAUAAAGGAAGAGGAAAAGAAAAAGAAGAAAGAGAAAGAGAAGGAGAGGAAGGAGAAGAAAAGGGAGAAGGAGAA
RNAcentral lists this long non-coding RNA (496 nucleotides) under Equus caballus (horse). RNAcentral's name for it is "lncRNA (ENSECAG00000047689.1)". The record is from RNAcentral. Lineage: Eukaryota; Metazoa; Chordata; Mammalia; Perissodactyla; Equidae.